ACCUCUCGGUCUUCUUCACACCUCAGGUCGUCUUCAUACCUCCUCACAGGCGUGGCUGAGGGGUGGGAACUUGAAGGGUCAUAGGUCAGCAGGCAGGCACGCAGGAGGUCAUGAGUCGCAGGCAGCCCCUUCCUGUGUCCCCUCCAGGGCCGAUUCACGAUUGCGGCCAAGCACCACAUCUCCAUUGCUGAGAUCUAUGAGACGGAGUUGGUGGACAUCGAGAAGGCCAUUGCCCACUACGAGCAGUCCGCAGACUACUACAAAGGCGAGGAGUCCAACAGGUAGCCCCCUUCCUGCCUGCCCCAGCCCCGCAGGGACCGCCACCACUUCCCCUCACUACUCCUCCCCACACAGCUCAGCCAACAAGUGUCUGCUGAAGGUGGCUGGUUACGCCGCGCUGCUGGAGCAGUAUCAGAAGGCCAUUGACAUCUACGAACAGGUGGGGACCAAUGCCAUGGACAGCCCCCUCCUCAAGUACAGCGCCAAAGACUACUUCUUCAAGGCGGCCCUCUGCCACUUCUGCAUCGACAUGCUCAACGCCAAGCUGGCUGUCCAAAAGUAUGAGGAGCUGUUCCCAGCUUUCUCUGAUUCCCGGGAAUGCAAGUUGAUGAAAAAAUUGCU
Molecule: small RNA, 621 nt
Filed under: Pan troglodytes (chimpanzee)
Lineage: Eukaryota; Metazoa; Chordata; Mammalia; Primates; Hominidae
Description: retained intron
Source: RNAcentral